Molecule: non-coding RNA, 26 nt
Filed under: Homo sapiens (human)
Lineage: Eukaryota; Metazoa; Chordata; Mammalia; Primates; Hominidae
Source: RNAcentral
CACUUUCUCCUCUGGUCUUCCCAAUU